This is a non-coding RNA of Linepithema humile (Argentine ant), 348 nucleotides long. The record is from RefSeq and is a predicted model, not a curated record. Lineage: Eukaryota; Metazoa; Arthropoda; Insecta; Hymenoptera; Formicidae.
AAAUGGAUAUAUUUUUAUUCUGGAACAUUUUUUUUAAUAAUGAUGAAGAAAAUAAUAAUGAUUGGGAAAUAGCACACAGAAGAGAACGACAUCUUAAAAUCAAUAAUUUCUUUGAAAAUGUUGCUCUCGUUUAUUCUUUAACAGAAAUACUUUUGAGUACUUAAUACAAACUUUUGGAGCAGCUUUAUUGGAAAAUAAUCCUAUAUUGAAAAAGUGUCCUAAAUUAUCACCAUCAAAGCAACUUGCCAUUGCCGUAUGGUUUUUUGGCAAUCAAGAAGUUUAUAGAUCCAUUGCAGAUCGAUUUGGAGUGUCUAAAGACACUGUAUGGAGAUGUGUUUUAAUGUAGCU